GAUGAACGCUGGCGGUAUGCUUAACACAUGCAAGUCGAACGGACUCUUCGGAGUUAGUGGCGGACGGGUGAGUAACGCGUGAGAAUCUGGCUUUGGGUUCGGGACAACCACUGGAAACGGUGGCUAAUACCGGAUGUGCCGAGAGGUAAAAGAGAAAUUGCCUGAAGAUGAGCUCGCGUCUGAUUAGCUAGUUGGUGAGGUAAAGGCUCACCAAGGCAGCGAUCAGUAGCUGGUCUGAGAGGAUGACCAGCCACACUGGGACUGAGACACGGCCCAGACUCCUACGGGAGGCAGCAGUGGGGAAGUUUCCGCAAUGGGCGAAAGCCUGACGGGGCAAUACCGCGUGAGGGAAGAAGGCUCUUGGGUGGUAAACCUCUUUUCUUAGGGAAGAACAAAAUGACGGUACCUAAGGAAUCAGCAUCGGCAAACUCCGU
This 434-nucleotide ribosomal RNA is filed under the name uncultured bacterium. RNAcentral's name for it is "partial 16S ribosomal RNA". It matches the Rfam family "Bacterial small subunit ribosomal RNA", at positions 28 to 506 of the family's 1533-position model. The record is from RNAcentral.